CGAACGAACUCUUCGGAGUUAGUGGCGGACGGGUGAGUAACACGUGGGAACGUGCCUUUUGGUUCGGAAUAACUCAGGGAAACUUGUGCUAAUACCGAAUGUGCCCUUCGGGGGAAAGAUUUAUCGCCAUUAGAGCGGCCCGCGUCUGAUUAGCUAGUUGGUGAGGUAAUGGCUCACCAAGGCGACGAUCGGUAGCUGGUCUGAGAGGAUGAUCAGCCACAUUGGGACUGAGACACGGCCCAAACUCCUACGGGAGGCAGCAGUGGGGAAUCUUGCGCAAUGGGCGAAAGCCUGACGCAGCCAUGCCGCGUGAAUGAUGAAGGUCUUAGGAUUGUAAAAUUCUUUCAGUAGGGACGAUAAUGACGGUACCUACAGAAGAAGCCCCGGCUAACUUCGUGCCAGCAGCCGCGGUAAUACGAAGGGGGCUAGCGUUGCUCGGAAUUACUGGGCGUAAAGGGAGCGUAGGCGGACAUUUAAGUCAGGGGUGAAAUCCCGGGGCUCAACCUCGGAAUUGCCUUUGAUACUGGGUGUCUUGAGUAUGAGAGAGGUAUGUGGAACUCCGAGUGUAGAGGUGAAAUUCGUAGAUAUUCGGAAGAACACCAGUGGCGAAGGCGACAUACUGGCUCAUUACUGACGCUGAGGCUCGAAAGCGUGGGGAGCAAACAGGAUUAGAUACCCUGGUAGUCCACGCCGUAAACGAUGAUUGCUAGUUGUCGGGAUGCAUGCAUUUCGGUGACGCAGCUAACGCAUUAAGC
This 755-nucleotide ribosomal RNA is filed under the name Brevundimonas sp. G1_4. Its description in RNAcentral is "bacterial SSU rRNA". It matches the Rfam family "Bacterial small subunit ribosomal RNA", at positions 63 to 865 of the family's 1533-position model. Lineage: Bacteria; Pseudomonadati; Pseudomonadota; Alphaproteobacteria; Caulobacterales; Caulobacteraceae. The record is from RNAcentral.